This 597-nucleotide ribosomal RNA is filed under the name uncultured bacterium. Its description in RNAcentral is "bacterial SSU rRNA". It matches the Rfam family "Bacterial small subunit ribosomal RNA", at positions 331 to 942 of the family's 1533-position model. The record is from RNAcentral.
CCAGACUCCUACGGGAGGCAGCAGUGAGGAAUCUUCCACAAUGGGCGAAAGCCUGAUGGAGCAACGCCGCGUGCAGGAUGAAGGCCUUCGGGUUGUAAACUGCUUUUAUAAGUGAGGAAUAUGACGGUAACUUAUGAAUAAGGAUCGGCUAACUACGUGCCAGCAGCCGCGGUCAUACGUAGGAUCCGAGCGUUAUCCGGAGUGACUGGGCGUAAAGAGUUGCGUAGGCGGUUUGUUAAGCGAAUAGUGAAACCUGGUGGCUCAACCAUACAGACUAUUAUUCGAACUGGCAAACUCGAGAGUGGUAGAGGUCACUGGAAUUUCUUGUGUAGGAGUGAAAUCCGUAGAUAUAAGAAGGAACACCAAUGGCGUAGGCAGGUGACUAGACCAUUUCUGACGCUAAGGCACGAAAGCGUGGGGAGCGAACCGGAUUAGAUACCCGGGUAGUCCACGCCGUAAACGAUGGAUACUAGCUGUUGGAGGUAUCGACCCCUUCAGUAGCGAAGCUAACGCGUUAAGUAUCCCGCCUGUGGAGUACGGCCGCAAGGCUAAAACAUAAAGGAAUUGACGGGGGCCCGCACAAGAAGGGCGAAUUCC